AAAAAAACCUUGUCACGAUUUAAGUGAUUGAUUGUGUUGAUUGGAUAGACAUUCAAUAAUAAAUUUCAAAAUAAAUAAUGGAUUAAAAUAACUAGAUUUUGAAAAUCAUGUUUCGCUCACCUGGUCCGAAGGGCCAUGUGAGCAUUUCUAAUCACUUGAUGCUAUCACUUGCAUCGUCCAUCCUUAUUAUUUACCGUCAACAUGUAGGAUACCAUAACUUGAAAUAACAUUUGUGUACGAUAAUGUUGUUUACAGUUCCCGG
RNAcentral lists this long non-coding RNA (262 nucleotides) under Mytilus galloprovincialis (Mediterranean mussel). Lineage: Eukaryota; Metazoa; Mollusca; Bivalvia; Mytilida; Mytilidae. The record is from RNAcentral.